GUCUGUCUGACUCCAAAGUCAGCAUUCUUUCCUUCCAUGAAGUACAGUCGGCUUUUAGCAGGAGAUAGUGACAUCCCAGGGACAUUUCUAACUCAGUUUCUGGAAAGCCCCAUCCAAAACCGACUAAUGUGUUGGAUAGACCAGCCAGUCAUUGCAGUAACAGUGGACAUCACCCCAAGAUCUAGGCUAGGCCUCAACGGUCUGAAAUUAAUCCCAUUCCUGUUUGCAGUGAUUAUCUUAGGAUGGGCACAUGAACCAGUUCUGGCCAUGAGAUGACUUUGUUUUGUCCAGAUGUGAUGUCUGGAAUCAUUCGAUGUAUCUCACUAUCAGUCCAAAGAUGAAACUGACCCUGAUGACUACACAGCAGAGAGAUUUUUUUAAAUCAGGGUUUUGACACCAACAUUCAGCUACUAAAUCAACUAAUCCUGAAGGUUCCUUCUACCUCUGGACUCCAAGUUUCAGCUUUUGGGUUCAUAUCUGUGAUGGUUAAUAUUGAGUGUCAACUAGAUUGAAUUGAAGGAUGCGAAGUAUUUUUCCUGGGUGUGUCUGUGAGGGUGUUGCCUUCAUCUUUCUCCCGUGCUGGAUGCCUCCUGCCCUCGAACAUCAGACUCCAAGUUCUUCAGUUUUUGGAUUCUUGGACUGGGGCUCUCGGGCCUUUGACCACAGACUGAAGGCUGAACUGUGGCCUUCCCUACUUUUGAGGUUUUGGGACUCAAACUGAUCUACUACUGGCGUUCUUGCUCCUCAACUUGCAGAUGUCCUAUCGUGGGACUUUACCACUUUACCUGAUUGUGUGAGCCAAUUCUCCUUAAUAAACUCCCUUUGAUAUAUACAUAUAUCCUUAGUUCUGUCCCUGUAAAGAACCGUGACUAAUACAAUAUCCAGAAGAUCAUUACCCAGAUCUAAAUUUUCCUCUGUGAUUGAUUGUUGUAUAUGGUAUAAGGGUCUAAUUUCAUUCUUCUGCAUGUGGAUAUCCAGUUGUCCGAACAUCAUUUAUUGAAGAGACUAGCCUUUUCCUAUGGUGUGAUCUUGGCACCUUUGUUGCAAAUUGAUUUACCAUAAAUGUGUGGAUUUAUUUCUAUGUUCUCUAUUAUGUUCCACUGAGCUAUAUGUUUGUUAUUAUGCAAGUACCAUGCUAUUUUGAUUAUUAUAGCUUUGUAGUAUAUUUUGAAGUUAGGUAGUGUGAUGCUUUCAGCUUUGUUCUUUUUGCUCAAGAUUACUUUGGCUCUUUGGGGGUUUUUAUGUUUCCAUAUAAAUUUUAGGAUUAUUUUUCUAUAUUUGUAAAAAACAUCAUUGGAAUUUUAAUAGAGAUUGCAUUGAAUCUGUAGAUCACUUUAGGUAGUAAUCCAUAAACCUGGGAUAUGUUUUCAUUUUUUGCAUCAUCUUUAAUUUCUUUCAUUGAUUUUGUUUUGUUUUGUAAGAGACAGGGUCUCACUAUGUUGCCCAGGCUGGAAUGCAGUGGCUAUUCACAGGCACGAUCAUAGCACACCACAUGGCCUUGAACUCCUAGGCCCAAGUGAUUCUCCUGCAUCAAGUCCUUAGUAGCUGGGACUACAGAUGCGUGCCACCACAUCCAGCUAUAUCAAUGUUUUAUAGUUUUCAAGUAAAGAUCUUUCGUCUCCUUGGUUAAAUUUGUUUAUAUUUUUUGUAGCUGUGCAAAUUAAUUUUUUUAUUUCUUCUUUAGAUAGUUCAUUGUUGGUAUAUAGAAAGACUACUGAUUUUUGUAUGUUUAUUUUAUAUCUUACAACCUUACUGAAUUUGUUUAUUGGUUCUAACAGUUUUUGUGUGGAAUCUUUAGGUCUUUCUACAUAUAAAGGACAUUUUAACUUCUUCCUUUCCAAUUUGGAUGCCUCAUUGCUCCUUUCCAAUUUCUCUUGCCUAAUUGUUCUGGCUAGGACUCCCAGUAUUAUGUUUAAUACAAGUGGCUAAAGUGGGCAUCCUUGUUUUGUGCCUGAGCUUAGAGGAAAAGCUUUCAACUUUUCACCAUUGAGCAUGAUGUUAGCUAUGGGUUUGUCAUAUAUGGCCUUUAUUGUGUUGAAGUACAUUCCUUCUAUACCUAAUUAGUGAGAGUUUUUAUCAUAAGAUGUGGUUUUCUUUUCUUAUUAUGCAUUUUUCUGGGUUUUGGUGUCAAAGUAAUACCAGCCCUUUUUAGUAAUUUUUAUUUCUGUAAAGUUGGUAGUAAUGGUUCAUCUUUCAUUCCUGAUUUUAGUCACUUGAACAUUCUCUCUUCUUUUUCUGGUCAUCUAACCAAAGGUUUGUCAAUUUUGUUGAUCUUUUCAAAGAAACAACUUUGAUUUUCGUUAAUUUUCUCUAUUGUUUUUCUAUACUUUAUUUCAUUUAUUUUUACUGUAAUCUUUAUUAUUUCUUUGCUUCUGCUUGCUUUCACUUCAACUUGCUUUUCUUUUUGUAGUUUCUUAAGGUAUAGAGUUAGGGUUUGGAUUUACAAUCUUUCUCCUCUUUCAUGGGCAUUUAUAGCUCUAAAUUUCCCUCUGAGCACUGCUUUGCUGCAGUUGUCGCAUAAGUUUGGUGUGAUGUGCGUGCAUUUCCGUUUAUUUCAAAAUGUCUUCUAAUUUCCCUUGUGAUUCUGCUUUGACCAUUUGUCCAUUUCGGGGGGAGUGUAUUGUUUAAUUUCCACAUUUGUUAAUUCUCUAAAUUUUCUUCUGUUAGUGGUUUCUGAUUUUAUUCCAUUCUGUUCAGAAAGCAUGUUUUAUGUGAUUUUAAUCCUUUAAAGUUUAUCAAGAUUUGUUUUAAGCCUUAAUAUGUUCUAUUCAAGAGAAUGUUCUAUGCACACUUGAGAACAUGUGCAGCCUGCUGUUGUUAAGUGUUCUAUAAAUGUGUGUUAGAUCUAGUUGGUUCAUAAUAUGGUCCAAGUCUUCCAUUUCCUUUCUAGUUGUUCUAUCCAUUAUUGGCAGUGUGGUAUUGAAGUCUCUAACUUAUUGUUGAAUUGUCUAUUCCCUCCUUCAAUUCUGUCAGGUUUUGUUUCAUCUAUUUUGGGUCUUUGUUGUUAGGUGUAUAUAUGUUUAUAAUUGUUAUGUCUUCUUGAUGCAUUGACUCUUUUACCUUUAUAAAAUGUCCUUCUUUGUCUCUAGAUUUUUAAAGUCUACUUUCUCUCUAGUAGCUUUGUGAUUUUAGCUUUACAUAUAGCUUGGUAAGUCAUCUCAAAUUACUUUUUCUGUAUGGUGUGAGAGAUUGAGGUUCACUUUUUCUGUAGGAUUAUCCAGUUGUUCCAACACUAUUUUUAAGGUAUCUUCUCCAUUGACAUUCCUUAUCAUCUGGUGUCAAAAAUCAAUUAUCUUUAUAUGUGUGAGCCUAUGUCUAGACUGUCUAGUCUAUUUUAUUAAUUUGUUAGUCUGUCACUGUGCCAAUACUACACUGUCUUGAUGACAGACUUUAUAGAAAGUCUUGAAAUCAGGCAGUAAGAAUCCUCUAAUUACACUCUUUCAAGAUUGUCUUGCUUAUUCAAGACCUUUUGUAUGUUCAUAUACAUUUUGGAAUCACUUUGUCAAUUUAUAUACUUUUUAAAAGCCUGCUGAAAUUUUUGAUUGGUAUUGCGUAAAAUGCAGGAAUCAAUUUUGGGAGAAUUGACAUUUUAACACUACUGUUUCCUAGUUCAUGAGCAUGGUAUUAGGUUCGUGCAAAUGUAAUUGCGGUUUUGCGGCAGUUAACCAUUAACCAUUAACCCAUUAACCAUUAUUUUAAUGGCAAAAACCACAAUUACUUUUGCACCAAUCUAUUGUAUCUGUUUUUUAUAUUUUAUGGUUUUCAAGGUAGAGGUUUUACAAAUCCUUUAUUACAUUUGUUCCUAAGGCCAGGUAUGGUGACUCAUGUCUGCAGUCUCAGAGAUUUUGGAGGCUGAGGCAGGAGGAUCACUUGAAGCCAGGAGUUUGAGACAGCCUGGGCAACAAAGCAAAACCCCAUCUCUACAAAAAAUAACAUUUUUUAAAAAUAGGCAGGAGUGGUGGUGUAUGCCUUCAGUCCCAGCUACUCGGUAGGCUGAGGCAGGAGGAUUGCUUGAGCCCAGGAGUUCAAGGCUACAGUGAGGUAUGCACAUCACUGCACUCCAACUUGAGUGACAGUGUGAAGCCCUGUCUCUAAAAAUAAAACAAAUUGUUCCUAAAUAUUUUAAUCUUUUUGAUGGUAUUAUAAAUGAUACUGCUUUUAAUUUUUAUUUUUCUAUUUUUGCUAAUAUAUUGAAGUAUGAUUGAUUUGUAUAUAUGAAUGUUGUACUCUGCAAACUUGUUACAUUCACUUAAUAUUUCUGAUAGAUUUUCAGUAAUGUCCUUAGGAUUUCUUCACAAACUAUUACUUUUUCUGCAAACAGAAGUGGUCUUUUUUCUAUCUAAUAUUUAUGCUUUUGAUUGCCUCUUCUUGCCUUAUUACACUGACCAGAAAACCUCCAAUACAAUGUUAAAUAAAAAAGGUAAGAGUGGACAUCCUUGCCUUGUGCUUAAUCUCCAGGGAUAGUGUUCAGUAUUUCACCAUUAACUGUGAUGUUAACUGUAGGUUUCUCAUAGCUGUACCUAUCAAAUUGAGGAAACACUCAUCUAUUUCUAGUUUGCUGAGAGUUUUUAAAACAAUGUGUAAUGAAUUUUGUCAGUGCUUUUUCUGCAUCUGUUGAAAUGAUCAUAUUGUUUGUCUUUUUUAUUUUGUUAAUGUAUAAAUACACAUUGAUUUUUAAAGGCUAAAUAAAUCUUGCAUCCCCUGGGACAAAUCCCAGCACACCAAAUAAAUAUAUUAUCCUUUUUCUAUAUUGCUGGAUUCAAUUUGUUAAUAUUUUGUUGAAGAUUUCAAAUCUUCAAACAAAUAUAUUGUCCUUUUUCUAUACUGCUAAAUUCAGUUUGUUAAUAUUUUGUCAAAGAUUUCUGUGUCUUGUUUGUAUUGGAUAUUGGCCUCAUAAAACAAGAUAGAAAAUAUUCCUUCGUCUUCUAAUCUCUGAGAUCAUUUGUAUAAGGUUGAUAUUAUUUCUUCUUUUAGAUGAUUAAUGAAAUUUACCUCUGAAAAUAUUUGGACCUGAGUUUGUUGUGGGAAGGUUUUUGAGGAUCGAUGCAAUUUCUUUUAUAGAUAUGGAUUUUCUGUUGCUUCUUGAGAAAGUUUUAUAAGUUGUAUUUUUCUCAGUUUGUCAACUUUUUCUAAGUUCUCAAAUGAAUUGGAAUAAAAUUGUUCAUAAUGUUUCUACCUUAUCUUUUUGAUAUCAGUAGGAUCUCUAGUACUAUCCCUUUCUUCAUCCCUGACGUUAACAACUUUUGUUUUCUCUUUUUUCUUGAUCAAUCUUUCUAGAAGUUUAUCAAUUUUGUUAAUAUUUACAACAAACCAACUUUUGGCUCUGUUAAUUUUCUCUUUGGUUUAUCUGUUUUUUAAAUCAUUAAAUUUAUGUUGCACUUAUGUUGUUAUUUUCUCUUUCCUACUUGUUUCUGCUUAUUUUUUCCUUUCUUCUACCUUCUUUGGGUUUAAUUUUCUCUUUUUUGAUAGCUUCUUAAAAUGAAAACAUUUUAAUUUUUGUUUGCAUAGUAAAAUUUACUCUUUUUGAAGUUGUGAAACCACAAUCACGAUUAAGAUAUGCACAAAAAAUUCCCUUUUGCUACCCUUUUGUAGUUAACACUUCUCCCCUUUCUCUAACUCCUAGCAACCAUUGAUCUAUUCUCUGUCCCUUUAGUUUUGCCUUUUCCAAAAUGUCAUGUAAAUGGAAUCAUACAGUAUGUAAACUUUUAAUUCUGACUUAUUCAACUUACCAUAAUGCCUUUGCAAUUCAUUCAUGUUGUAUUAAUAUUUUGUUUCUUUUUUCUUGCUAAGUAAUAAUGCCCUGCAUAUGUGCCACAGAUUGUUUAUCUCUUUCCCAUUUGAGGAACAUUUAAUUGCUUCUAGAUUUUGGCAAUAAUGAAUAAAGCCAAUGUAAAUAUCCACAGGUAGAUUUUUGUGUGAACAUCAGUUUCCACUUCACUUAAGUAAAUACCUAAGAGUAGGAUGGCUGGGUCAUAUAGAAAGUGUAUGUUUAGGCCGGGCGCGGUGGCUCACGCUUGUAAUCCCAGCACUUUGGGAGGCCGAGGCGGGUGGAUCACGAGGUCAGGAGAUCGAGACCACGGUGAAACCCCGUCUCUACUAAAAAUAAAAAAAAAAUUAGCCGGGCGUGGUGGCGGGCG
This 6137-nucleotide long non-coding RNA is filed under the name Homo sapiens (human). RNAcentral's name for it is "HSALNT0050936". The record is from RNAcentral. Lineage: Eukaryota; Metazoa; Chordata; Mammalia; Primates; Hominidae.